RNAcentral lists this ribosomal RNA (944 nucleotides) under marine metagenome. RNAcentral describes it as "bacterial SSU rRNA". It matches the Rfam family "Bacterial small subunit ribosomal RNA", at positions 358 to 1321 of the family's 1533-position model. The record is from RNAcentral.
AGGAUCUUGCACAAUGGAGGAAACUCUGAUGCAGCGAUGCCGCGUGAGUGAAGAAGGCCUUUGGGUUGUAAAGCUCUUUCGUCGGGGAAGAAAAUGACGGUACCCGAAUAAGAAGGUCCGGCUAACUUCGUGCCAGCAGCCGCGGUAAUACGAAGGGACCUAGCGUAGUUCGGAAUUACUGGGCUUAAAGAGUUCGUAGGUUGUUAAAAAAGUUGGUGGUGAAAUCCCAGAGCUUAACUCUGGAACUGCCAUCAAAACUUUUUAGCUAGAGUAUGAUAGAGGAAAGCAGAAUUUCUAGUGUAGAGGUGAAAUUCGUAGAUAUUAGAAAGAAUACCAAUUGCGAAGGCAGCUUUCUGGAUCAUUACUGACACUGAGGAACGAAAGCAUGGGUAGCGAAGAGGAUUAGAUACCCUCGUAGUCCAUGCCGUAAACGAUGUGUGUUAGACGUUGGAAAUUUAUUUUCAGUGUCGCAGCGAAAGCAUUAAACACACCGCCUGGGGAGUACGACCGCAAGGUUAAAACUCAAAUGAAUUGACGGGGACCCGCACAAGUAGUGGAGCAUGUGGUUUAAUUCGAAGAUACGCGCAGAACCUUACCAACACUUGACAUGUUCGUCGCGACUUUAAGAAAUUAAAGUCUUCGGUUCGGCCGGACGAAACACAGGUGCUGCAUGGCUGUCGUCAGCUCGUGUCGUGAGAUGUUGGGUUAAGUCCCGCAACGAGCGCAACCCUCACUUUUAGUUACCAUCAUUUAGUUGGGUACUCUGAAAGAACUGCCAGUGAUAAGCUGGAGGAAGGUGGGGAUGACGUCAAGUCCUCAUGGCCCUUACGUGUUGGGCUACACACGUGCUACAAUGGCAUCUACAAUAGGAAGCAAGAUGGCGACAUUGAGCAAAUCCUAAAAAGAUGCCUCAGUUCGGAUUGUACUCUGCAACUCGAGUACAU